CAGUCGCCACGGUAGUACGUAGGUGGCAAGCGUUGUCCGGAAUUAUUGGGCGUAAAGCGCGCGCAGGCGGAUCAGUCAGUCUGUCUUAAAAGUUCGGGGCUUAACCCCGUGAGGGGAUGGAAACUACUGAUCUAGAGUAUCGGAGAGGAAAGUGGAAUUCCUAGUGUAGCGGUGAAAUGCGUAGAUAUUAGGAAGAACACCAGUGGCGAAGGCGACUUUCUGGACGAAAACUGACGCUGAGGUGCGAAAGCCAGGGGAGCGAACGGGAUUAGAUACCCGGGUAGUCCCUGUCUCUUAUACA
Molecule: ribosomal RNA, 301 nt
Filed under: uncultured bacterium
Lineage: Bacteria
Description: partial 16S ribosomal RNA
Rfam family: Bacterial small subunit ribosomal RNA
Source: RNAcentral